UUUGGUGUUGUUGGCGAAAUGGAUACACCUGUUCCCAUCCCGAACACAGAAGUUAAGCAUUUCAGCGCCGAUGAUAGCUGGGCGCUUGCCCCGCAAAAGUAGGUCAUCGCCAAGC
RNAcentral lists this ribosomal RNA (115 nucleotides) under Acholeplasmataceae bacterium. Lineage: Bacteria; Bacillati; Mycoplasmatota; Mollicutes; Acholeplasmatales; Acholeplasmataceae. RNAcentral also lists the same sequence under 1 other name. The record is from RNAcentral.